UUCACAAUCAUGCGAUGGGUAAAAAAAUACCCAUUAGAGGAAACCCCUUAUAUUAAUAAAACGGUUAUAUUUUUACACAUUAAUGGGUGAAAAAAUAGUUUGACAACGAAGCGUAUCCAGUACACCGUUGGUGUAAAAAGCAGCUUGUUUCUGCUUUAAACUUUAAUAAAAACUUAAAAAAUAUCUGCAUCGGGACACUCUCGCAACAACACAAAUCGGAAAAUGGAGGAACUAAAAAAACGCAGAGUCAUACGUAAAGCUGAACGUUGAUGGCUAAUGUGCGUUUACGGAGAAAACACUUCUGGCGAUUUGUAACAGCAAACUCAACCUCAAUACAAGCCGCAAGGAUGAUCUUGUGGUUGCUUUUCAUCCUCUAUGUGGAAGUUCGGGUGGAGGAUGAGGUGCAAGAACCUCAAUUCUAGAGUGCUUUGAGAAUAGGUCGUAUGUGCAAAAGAGAGCCUCUCUUCGGUUCCAUUCUCUUUCGAUUAUUACAAAGCUAUGCACAAUUUUACGUUGGAUUUUUUGGCAGAUAUCUAAAGACAAUAGCUUUGUCUAGCGUGCUAAAGUGAAAAUGUUGCAGAAAAUGCUAAACUUGCCGAUCUAUUAGCGAAAGAGAGCGUGAACAAAGAGAGUCUCUCUUUUGUACAUACGACCUAUUCUCAA
Molecule: long non-coding RNA, 663 nt
Organism: Armigeres subalbatus
Lineage: Eukaryota; Metazoa; Arthropoda; Insecta; Diptera; Culicidae
Exons: 3
Source: RefSeq, a predicted model, not a curated record